UGCAGUAGAACGCUGAAGAGAGGAGCUUGCUCUUCUUGGAUGAGUUGCGAACGGGUGAGUAACGCGUAGGUAACCUGCCUUGUAGCGGGGGAUAACUAUUGGAAACGAUAGCUAAUACCGCAUAACAAUGGAUGACACAUGUCAUUUAUUUGAAAGGGGCAAUUGCUCCACUACAAGAUGGACCUGCGUUGUAUUAGCUAGUAGGUGAGGUAACGGCUCACCUAGGCGACGAUACAUAGCCGACCUGAGAGGGUGAUCGGCCACACUGGGACUGAGACACGGCCCAGACUCCUACGGGAGGCAGCAGUAGGGAAUCUUCGGCAAUGGGGGCAACCCUGACCGAGCAACGCCGCGUGAGUGAAGAAGGUUUUCGGAUCGUAAAGCUCUGUUGUAAGUCAAGAACGAGUGUGAGAGUGGAAAGUUCACACUGUGACGGUAGCUUACCAGAAAGGGACGGCUAACUACGUGCCAGCAGCCGCGGUAAUACGUAGGUCCCGAGCGUUGUCCGGAUUUAUUGGGCGUAAAGCGAGCGCAGGCGGUUUGAUAAGUCUGAAGUUAAAGGCUGUGGCUCAACCAUAGUUCGCUUUGGAAACUGUCAAACUUGAGUGCAGAAGGGGAGAGUGGAAUUCCAUGUGUAGCGGUGAAAUGCGUAGAUAUAUGGAGGAACACCGGUGGCGAAAGCGGCUCUCUGGUCUGUAACUGACGCUGAGGCUCGAAAGCGUGGGGAGCGAACAGGAUUAGAUACCCUGGUAGUCCACGCCGUAAACGAUGAGUGCUAGGUGUUGGAUCCUUUCCGGGAUUCAGUGCCGCAGCUAACGCAUUAAGCACUCCGCCUGGGGAGUACGACCGCAAGGUUGAAACUCAAAGGAAUUGACGGGGGCCCGCACAAGCGGUGGAGCAUGUGGUUUAAUUCGAAGCAACGCGAAGAACCUUACCAGGUCUUGACAUCCCGAUGCUAUUUCUAGAGAUAGAAAGUUACUUCGGUACAUCGGUGACAGGUGGUGCAUGGUUGUCGUCAGCUCGUGUCGUGAGAUGUUGGGUUAAGUCCCGCAACGAGCGCAACCCCUAUUGUUAGUUGCCAUCAUUCAGUUGGGCACUCUAGCGAGACUGCCGGUAAUAAACCGGAGGAAGGUGGGGAUGACGUCAAAUCAUCAUGCCCCUUAUGACCUGGGCUACACACGUGCUACAAUGGUUGGUACAACGAGUUGCGAGUCGGUGACGGCAAGCUAAUCUCUUAAAGCCAAUCUCAGUUCGGAUUGUAGGCUGCAACUCGCCUACAUGAAGUCGGAAUCGCUAGUAAUCGCGGAUCAGCACGCCGCGGUGAAUACGUUCCCGGGCCUUGUACACACCGCCCGUCACACCACGAGAGUUUGUAACACCCGAAGUCGGUGAGGUAACCUUUUGGAGCCAGCCGCCUAA
This 1419-nucleotide ribosomal RNA is filed under the name Streptococcus salivarius. RNAcentral describes it as "bacterial SSU rRNA". It matches the Rfam family "Bacterial small subunit ribosomal RNA". The record is from RNAcentral. RNAcentral also lists the same sequence under 1 other name. Lineage: Bacteria; Bacillati; Bacillota; Bacilli; Lactobacillales; Streptococcaceae.